Molecule: ribosomal RNA, 424 nt
Filed under: uncultured prokaryote
Description: bacterial SSU rRNA
Rfam family: Bacterial small subunit ribosomal RNA
Source: RNAcentral
UGGGGGAUAUUGGACAAUGGGCGCAAGCCUGAUCCAGCCAUGCCGCGUGAGUGAAGAAGGCCCUAGGGUUGUAAAGCUCUUUCAGUGGUGACGAUGAUGACGGUAGCCACAGAAGAAGCCCCGGCUAACUUCGUGCCAGCAGCCGCGGUAAUACGAAGGGGGCUAGCGUUGUUCGGAAUUACUGGGCGUAAAGCGCACGUAGGCGGACUAUUAAGUCAGGGGUGAAAUCCCGGGGCUCAACCCCGGAACUGCCUUUGAUACUGGUAGUCUAGAGUUCGAGAGAGGUGAGUGGAAUUCCGAGUGUAGAGGUGAAAUUCGUAGAUAUUCGGAGGAACACCAGUGGCGAAGGCGGCUCACUGGCUCGAUACUGACGCUGAGGUGCGAAAGCGUGGGGAGCAAACAGGAUUAGAUACCCGCGUAGUCC